ACCAGGAUGGCUGAGUGGUUAAAGUGUUGGACUUAAGCUUUAAUGGGUGCAUACUUGUGUGGGUUCAAACCCUACUCCUGGUA
This 83-nucleotide transfer RNA is filed under the name Alligator mississippiensis (American alligator). It matches the Rfam family "tRNA". From Rfam's summary of the family: Transfer RNA (tRNA) molecules are approximately 80 nucleotides in length. Their secondary structure includes four short double-helical elements and three loops (D, anti-codon, and T loops). Further hydrogen bonds mediate the characteristic L-shaped molecular structure. tRNAs have two regions of fundamental functional importance: the anti-codon, which is responsible for specific mRNA codon recognition, and the 3' end, to which the tRNAs corresponding amino acid is attached (by aminoacyl-tRNA synthetases). tRNAs cope with the degeneracy of the genetic code in two manners: having more than one tRNA (with a specific anti-codon) for a particular amino acid; and 'wobble' base-pairing, i.e. permitting non-standard base-pairing at the 3rd anti-codon position. The record is from Rfam by way of RNAcentral. Lineage: Eukaryota; Metazoa; Chordata; Crocodylia; Alligatoridae.